AUGUUAUGAAGACACUGAGGUGCCGGCGGUUUUUGGACUGCCGGAUAAUUGGGAAGCCGGUUGAAACCCGGCGCUGCCCCCGCAACGGUAACAGAAUUGACGGCGACGAAUGACCACUGGGCGAGAUCGGCCCGGGAAGGUGUCGCCAGGUCCGGAAGGACAGUCUGGAGCCCGGAAACCAGCCUCGGAAAACACUCGACU
RNAcentral lists this non-coding RNA (201 nucleotides) under Rhizobium sp. The record is from RNAcentral. Lineage: Bacteria; Pseudomonadati; Pseudomonadota; Alphaproteobacteria; Hyphomicrobiales; Rhizobiaceae.